GUUGUGGCUCUCUAUAUAUAGCAACAAACAGAGGAGUUUAUUGGCAGUGAGCAACUAGGAACAUAAGAAGAAGCAGAAAUAGAAAAAAGUAGUUCCUUCAUUCUCAUGGCACACACUAACAGUACAAGAUGGCCAAUGGUGGUGCGCUCCAUGGCUAUUGCUUUCCUGGUGCUGGCCAUGAUGUUUUUUACCUUCCCAUCCUGCCAUGCGCGCACUCGUAUGUUGCAGUAUAUACCCCUAUUUUGUUGUGCAUCCUAUUGUUCAAAUUGAACAACCUAUCUCUAAUAUAUCUUGUUUGAUUUGUAUCUACAGCUGCAUCUACAAAAUAUUUAUAUCAUGGAUUUUGCAAGACUCUCAAUCCCUGCAAUAAGGACAGCUGCUAUGAUCUGUGUACAAGUAAAAGACAAAACUACGCAUAUUCCUAUUGCAAGGACGAUGUUAAGAUUCCAACGUGUUGCUGCACAUACACUGAUGGUUCUCCUGCUUGAGUCAUACAAUGUUGAAUACAUUUAUAUUUGAUUUCAAUAAAGAUGUUUUUAAUCAAUCGAGUUAAUUAGGGAGGUCAUAGGGCACUCUCAGUUCCCAUUUCACUUGUACCAAAAAGCAUGCCACCAAGGUUUACAUAUACUUGAUGACCCAGGCACCAACUGGCGCAGAGACGAAAUGCAGCCCAUAAGUAGUUGAGUAUAGUAGCAAAUUUUUGAUUAAUUUGAUCCAGGAAAUAAUCGUGAGCAUGGCAUUAACAAUGUUGAACAUAUAUUGAUAUUCGAUCAUGUAAGCAUAUACUACGCAAACAACAGACACAUCUAUGUAUGGUGCUUGCUAGUAUGGCUAACAAGAAAUGAUCAAGAGCGGGGAGAAACGGAAUAUUAUAGUAUGUUUUUCUAAUUCUUGAUUUACCAAGUUUUUUGACAACCACGGUAUUCUUUUUUUAGGAACAUUAGCAGGUGCUCUGCUUUUUCAUUAAGUAAGGGCAAGAGAAUUACAUGUUACAAAAGAGGUCAAGUCUAAAAGGAGAGUCCGUUUGCAAGAGCAGUGACGGCUAUACAGGGAGUAGAAACGCUACAUCUCUCGCGCCUCCAGAAGGAGGCCAGUGCUUUCUCUGAUAUAUAUAGAUGUUUGUAGCGCCGAGACUGCAUGCUGUUGGAAAAUGUGGCCAUUGCAUACUUUCCAGAUGUGCCAAACAGUGUAGGCCGCAGUGGUCUUGUCCAUGCGGCACAAAUUGCUCCACAUCCGUUAAUAGUUGUCUUGGAUAGGGCUGCUCUGGAUGCUUGCUGAAAAUUGGUUGCUGUGCGCAUCCAGACCUCUUUGACGAAAGGGCACAGCAAGAAAAGGUGAGAGGUGCACUCCAGCGAUUGAUCACAUAAAGGGCAGACCGAAUGGUUUGGCCAACCCCUAGCACUGAGCCGAUCAGAGGUCCACAGUCUAUUUUGUAGCAGCAACCAAAUAAAAAAUAUGACCUUGGGUUUGAUCUUGAGUCUCCAGACUUGAUUCAACACAGGAGCUUGGAUGCGGCGGACGAAUUGCACCGCGUAGGCAGAGGAGGCAGUGUAUUGACCGCCUGCCGUGAGAUUCCAGCGUAUACUGAUGCGUCUCCAACGUAUCUAUAAUUUUUGAUUGCUCCAUGCUAUAUUAUCUUCUAUUUUGGACAUUAUUAAGCUUUAUUAUUUACUUUUAUAUUAUUUUUGAGACUAACCUAUUAACCGGAGGCCUAACCCAAAAUUGCUGUUUUUUGCCUAUUUCAGAGUUUCGCAGAAAAAAAAUAUCAAACAAAGUCCAAACGGAAUGAAACCUUCGGGAACGUUAUUUUCGGAACGAACAUGAUCCAGGAGACAUGGAACAUACGUCAAGCAACCAACAGGGAAGCCACGAGGUAGGGGGGCACGCCUACCCCCCCAGGCGCGCCCUCCACCCCCGUGGGCCCCCUAUUGCUCCACCGACGUAUUCCUUCCUCCUAUAUAUACCUACGUACCCCCAAACGACCAGAUACGGAGCCAAAACCCUAAAUCCAUUGUUGUAACUUUCUGUAUCCACGAGAUCCCAUCUUAGGGCCUGUUCCAGAGCUCCGACGGAGGGGGCAUCGAUCACGGAGGGCUUCUACAUCAACACCAUAGCCUCUCCGAUGAUGUGUGAGUAGUUUACCUCAGACCUUCGGGUCCAUAGUUAUUAGCUAGAUGGCUUUUUCUCUCUUUUUGGAUCUCAAUACAAUGUUCUCCCCCUCUCUCGUGGAGAUCUAUUCGAUGUAAUCUUCUUUUGCGGUGUGUUUGUUGAGACCGG
This 2277-nucleotide long non-coding RNA is filed under the name Triticum aestivum (bread wheat). RNAcentral describes it as "long non-coding RNA (TAES_LNC021126)". The record is from RNAcentral. Lineage: Eukaryota; Viridiplantae; Streptophyta; Magnoliopsida; Poales; Poaceae.